Molecule: transfer-messenger RNA, 373 nt
Filed under: Chitinophagaceae
Lineage: Bacteria; Pseudomonadati; Bacteroidota; Chitinophagia; Chitinophagales
Also listed under: 1 other name
Description: VBAS01 sp005882975 Standard tmRNA
Rfam family: transfer-messenger RNA
About the family: Bacterial tmRNA, also known as 10Sa RNA or SsrA, is named for its dual tRNA and mRNA-like properties. Its role is to liberate the mRNA from a stalled ribosome.
Source: RNAcentral
GGGGGUGUAUGGUUUUGACAGCAUAGAUCUUUGAAAGUGUAAGCAUGUUCUGCGUUGUGUAAUUAGCAGGCUAAUCUGAAUACACAAAAACUCAAAUGGCAAUACUCAGUAUGCCAUGGCCGCUUAAUCAGUGAUUAGGUAGUCAUUAGGGCCGCCGGGCCGGUUCGCUUGUUUCCAUGCCCCGCCGCCGACUCAAAACAAAACAAGAUGCUGCAACAGAAGGCUGUGACUGUUGCUUAAGACCAUGCAGCUAAGGAAGUAGUCGGUUGUUUGUUUCCAGUUGCUUCCCGAAAAACCUCAAAACAAAAUAAGCAUGUAGAAAGCUUUUGGAGAAUAUGUUUGGACACCGGUUCGAAUCCGGUCACCUCCACAU